AUUUGAUUUGGGUGACACUGUUUCCCUUUCCUCUUAGGGCUUUGGAACCCAAGGUCAGAGAGCGGGCACAGCAUUCUACCAACACGGCCACGGGGAACAGGCCAGGUCUCGAGGGCAGGCCCCCUCCUCAGCACCACAGCGGAAGGGAGGGUGCAACCACCGUGGGAAAGGAGGUCACACUUCUCCAUCCCCUCGACUGCCAUCCGAGGGGCAUCUUGAUUCUUCCAAAGUCAUAUGUAAAAGACAAGGUCAGUAAAAUUGGUCUCUAUGCCACCUGAAGCUAUUAUUAGCCAUCAUGCAGGAACGUGGCAUUUCUAAAAAUUUCAUAAAUCUGAAACCAUCUUUUAAAAAAGUCCCAGCAACCGAAGGCAUCUUACAGUACUUUGUUUCAAAUAUUUAAAAGAUAGUUUUUUUAAGUAAAAUGGCCCCCAAAGAGCCCAAUGAUUUUUUUUUCUUAAAAAGGGUUUCUCUUUAAUUAAAAAAAUGGAUAAAAAUGGAAGAUGUAAAAUGUGGGAAGAGGAACAAGAGAGUCGCUGACUAUGCAUUUGGAGUUGCAGGGGGUGGGGCGGUGGAUGGAGAGACGCGGCCAAGGAGAGAAGGGCCGGCUCCCGAGGCCUCUCCGCUCCCCCGGAUUCCGGCCGCACCCUGGGGACACGGGACUCAAAGUCGCGAGGAGGAGACACGAACGUGAAGCUUCUGUCCCUCCUGCGGCUGCGUGGUGUCCACGUGUGCAAACCGAGCGAGCCCCUCCCCGCCGCAUAAGGUGCGCGUCUGCGGACACCCCUGGUGCGCUCGGAGAGCACGCACAGUCCCUGGGGGCGCCCAGCCGUCACUUCUCCACCUUCUUGGCCUUCUUCAGGAUGUCGCAUUUCUUCCUGUUGGGGCGGCGGCACCGCUCGUCGAUGCUCGGGAUGCACUCGUAGUGCCACACCUCCUCCAUCUUCUCCACCGGGUACACGGCCUCCACGUAGUGGCGGAUGAGCCGCAGCCGCGUGGGGUCCAGCUGCUUCUUGUUGCAGGCGCCGGAGUGGUUGUACUGCAGCCGGAGGUUCUCGGCCGUGAAGAGUUCCGGGAAGAGCCUGACCAGGAGCCGCGCGGCAAAGUUGCCCACCGACAGGCUCUGCUGCACGAUCUCGCGCACCUCCUUGUCCGACAGCAGGUUCUCGUGCGUGAAGAGCUCGGGGAAGAGGUGCACCAGCAGGCGCGAGGCGAAGUUGCCGAUGGACAGGCUGCUCUCGUAGAUGCUGCG
Mustela erminea (ermine) is the source of this 1249-nucleotide long non-coding RNA. RefSeq lists it as uncharacterized. The transcript is spliced from 3 exons. NCBI's taxonomy places the organism in Eukaryota, Metazoa, Chordata, Mammalia, Carnivora, Mustelidae. The record is from RefSeq and is a predicted model, not a curated record.